Molecule: long non-coding RNA, 25776 nt
Filed under: Lynx pardinus (Iberian lynx)
Lineage: Eukaryota; Metazoa; Chordata; Mammalia; Carnivora; Felidae
Rfam family: tRNA (bases 4917-5000)
Source: RNAcentral
AUUGCAUCAACAAGUCAGGACAAUCUUGGGACAGAAAUACAAGCGAUUUCCUUUAAUAAGAAAGUACAGCAAUGGCCCAGUUUCUUCCCAGCUCUCGGUGCACAUUACCGAGAUGGCACCAGGAGGCAAGCUGCACUAUCACUGAGGCGUUGCUCUGAGGGGAAGGAGAGAGGGAACUUGAAGAAUCAGCCAAUUUGCAGAUAAAGAGCAGGACGAGACCCGUCUCCCGGACCAGAAUAGUAAGUGGAAAGAAGAGGAAUACUCAAAGCUGAUUUCAAAAGGUCAGAUUCAAAGCACCCUCAAGUAUUCACGGCCUUCAUUCCUAAGAUACUGUCUCAGUUCCAGAGGUCAUCUAGCCUUGCUUUAAAUAAGCCAUAUGAUGACUCUGUGUCAUCAGAGUGUAAAGGAAAGGUCACAUGGGCUUUGAGGCAAACAGGACUGGGUUUGAAUCAAACUCCACCAUCUAAUUGCCGAGCAACUUGGGCAAGUUCGUCGUUCAUUUGUUCAUUCCCUCACUCAGCAGAAACGUCUCGAGCACCUGCUGGGUCCCAGAUGUUGUGCCUGGCACUAAGAAUCCAUGGUGAGCAAGACAUUGUUUUUGUCUUUCAGGAGUUUAUAGUCUAGUGGGGGACAGUGCUAUGCUGUGCUAAGGUUAAAAGCAGAGUAAGUGGGAGCAUGUAGGAAAGAGGUCAGAGAAUCAGAGAACCAGUGGGUGUCAGCCAAUGAUGUGAGGGUGGGGUAAAUAGGGGACCCACAUUUGUGGGGAAGAGGCUUCCAGACAGAAGGAACAGCUUCCAAAGGUUUGGAGCAGGAAAUAACAAGCAGACUCCUGGAAUUAAAACUGUCAAGUGUAGGGGCGCCUGGGUAGCUCAAUCGGUUAAGCAUCCAACUUUGGCUCAGGUCAUGAUCUCACCGUUCAUGAGUUUGAGCCCCGCAUCGGGCUCUGUGCUGACAGCUCAGAGCCUGGAGCCUGCUUCCGAUUCUGUGCCUCCCUCUCUCUCUCUGCUCCUUCCCCGCUUGCACUCUCUCUGUCUCUUAAAAAUAAACAAACCUUUAAAAAAAUAAAAAAAAAUUUUAAAAAUGAAAAAACUCGUCAAGUGUAGCUGUGUGCCAGGACAGGAGUGACAGGGUGAUACUGAGGAAGUAGCAGGAGGCAGAUCUCGAAGGGACAUCCAAGGCAAAUUCAAGACAAGCCAGGAACUGUAGAACUUCAAGCUAGGCAUCAGGAUCAGAUGGCUGAGAAAGCCCCCUGACUGCAGUGCAGAAUGGAUUCGAGGGGGUGAUGGGUCAGGAAGUGGUUGUCACGUGCUUUGGAGCCGUGCGAUGGCCGGGGCUGGUGAGUCACGGGUGGUGCUGAGAGCUCUUUCACAGCCGAAUGACUGGACUUGGUGAUUAUCAGAUAUGGUAGGUAAAGGGAGGAGGGACCCCGGGGUGAUUCCCAUUCACCAGAGAUAGGCACUGUCACAGGGGGUGGCACAGGGGAAGAUGGGGAAUUUGUGCUGAGUUUCAGGCUGAAGACUUUCCGUGGGCAAUUGUGUGAAUGUGCUGGGGACUUGGAAGGGUGACAGGACUGACACAUGGAGGAUUGUUGAAAGCACAUGAGCAGAGGUGAUCUCCAGGAAGAGCACUUUACUCAGUGAAGAGAAAAAGUGCCUUCAUCAGGGGCACCUAGUGGCUCAGUCGGUUGAGCGUCCGACUUCGGGUUCAGGUCAUGAUCUCGCGGUUUGUGAGUUUGAGCCCCGCGUCGGGCUCUGUGCUGACAGCUCAGAUCAGAGCCUGGAUGGAGCCUGCUUUGGAUUCUGUGUCUCUGUCUCUCUCUGCCCCUCCCCUACUUGUGCUCUGUCUCUCCCUCUCUUAAAAAUAAACAUUAAAAGGGGCGCCUGGGUGGCGCAGUCGGUUAAGCGUCCGACUUCAGCCAGGUCACGAUCUCGCGGUCCGUGAGUUCGAGCCCCGCGUCAGGCUCUGGGCUGAUGGCUCAGAGCCUGGAGCCUGUUUCAGAUUCUGUGUCUCCCUCUCUCUCUGCCCCUCCCCCGUUCAUGCUCUGUCUCUCCCUCUCUUAAAAAUAAACAUUAAAAGGGGCGCCUGGGUGGCGCAGUCGGUUAAGCGUCCGACUUCAGCCAGGUCACGAUCUCGCGGUCCGUGAGUUCGAGCCCCGCGUCAGGCUCUGGGCUGAUGGCUCAGAGCCUGGAGCCUGUUUCAGAUUCUGUGUCUCCCUCUCUCUCUGCCCCUCCCCCGUUCAUGCUCUGUCUCUCUCUGUCCCAAAAAUAAAUAAACGUUGAAAAAAACAUUUUAAUAAAAAAAAAAAUAAACAUUAAAAAAAAAGUGACCUCAUCGGUGAGAUGGCUAAGGUCUGAGAUGCAAGAAAUAAGCAAGAUAUCACAUGUAGCAUGUCUAGGAGGGUGCCUGGGACAAGGUAUGGUGGCCGUUGAUGGCAGGCCCCUCUCUUCAUCUCCCUGCGGUGCUGUGGGGCAGACUUGUCCCACAUCAGUGCCGUUUUCACACUCUUACCUGCUCUCAUCCUUCUUAACUGCCUCUCUCUUUGAUUUAAUACGAGCUAUGAAAACCCAAGCCUGCCCUCCCCGCCCCCUCAUCUAUGUCCCAGAAAAUGAAAAUGGGCCGCUUAAUACGCAAGCCCCGACCUACAUCUUACAGUGUUCAGACUGUUCCCAGCCAAGCAGGAUUUGAGUCAGAGACUGAGACUUGUGCCACUCAGGACGGAUCUUAAAGCCAUGGUUUGCUUCAUGAUACAUAGGAGAGAAAUCUGGUCAGGAAACUCCAGAAAAUCAUUUCUCGGCCAUCUGUCUUCCCCUGACUGGCAGCCAGAGACCGCUCACCAAGUCGUGUAUGGGAGCUCGGCAGCUCAGUUGGAAAGGAACCCGAGCCAAGGUGCCAGGGUGCGUGUGCUGUGGCUUUGGUGAUGGCAGCCGGCUGACAGGCUACCCCCGGGUUCAGCAGGACCAGAUUAUCCAAGGACAGGAGAGCUAGCUGCCUAAGACUUCCCAGAUAGUUCGUUAUCGGAAUGAACUUUCCAUCUGAUGGAAUGUUGGUCGUGCUGUACUGACAGCCAAGCCCUGACUCCGCUGGUUCUUCCUUUUCAACUUAGUCCUGCUUUGAAAGGAAAUGUGAACCAAACAGACUCUUCCCCAGUGCUGGAGGAGCCCCAGAGAGAUGACCCUCCCCCUCCCGCCUUGCCCAGUUGCCCCCAGGGCCUCAAAGCAGGAGUUAACUACUCUUCCCGGGAGUCUAUUGAAAGUGAGCUGACUCAAUGGAAAGCUUGAAUCAAUGAACUGUGCUUUCAAGUGAGUAAAAGGAAAGAAAAGAACAGACAGGUGGUGCUCUCCAGGAGAGGCAAAAUGUUUGUAUUUAUAAGAAAAAAAGCCUUCCUGACUUCUUCCUUACCAUUCUCCCCACCACACCAUCCAGGCUGCAUCAUUGCAGAUUCUAUUCUUGGCAUAGCACAAGCCUUCGAUUUAGAACAACAUGGAGAAAGGCAGGCGUCCUCCAUUUAUCCAACCAGACCAUUUGUCAUUAUGUGCAUCAAGGGGCAAUUUUGGCUGAGGCAGAACCCAGCUAUUGGGUUGUCAUCCCUCUCCAUCUAUUUGUGUCCAUUCAUAUUCAUGGGGCUCGUAUUUUGUAAUUGGAGGAGGAAGAGAGCAGGGGUUUCAUGAAUCUGUCUUCCACCUGCCCCUCUUGGCCUGGGUUUGAUCUCUAGAGGGAUAAGAAUCUGAAACUGACGGAAUUAUUUUCAUGGAAGAUUCUGCUCGAUUCUGGGCACAAGCUGGGAUGCGCAGGACCCAGGUGACAAAGUGUGGUCUGGGAGUGGGGAGAGGCUCCCCCCUCUGCCCAGAUCACAUUGCCAUGCUGAGGACUGGUGGCCUUGUUAGGCUUCUUCCAGUGGGUGAGUGACAGCUGGCAGAAGAGAUCACAUAGGGCAGUCCUGAGUGAUUGCUGCAGUCGGAAGCCUGGCCUGUCAUCUCCUUGAGGCUCUCCUGCAGGGGUUCCUAGAAUUUACCGGGGGCCUCCGGAAAAGGGCUAGAUUGUGCGUGGGCAAGAAAGGGAUUGCUCAGGAUCACUGCAUUUGGGGUAUAGACAUAAAUAUGACCCUGUGUUAUAGUCCUAAACCUGGAGACUGUGGGUCACUGGGGAGCAUUUGUGAAGGCAGAACAUCAACGUUACUCUUUCUGGCCACUUCUCUGUCUCCAACUGAACUCAGCCUUGACUGUCCAGGACCUCCUCUGGAAGAGCAGGUGGUAUUUCCCCCAGCCACUCAGAGGAGGGAUUCUUAGCCAAGAAGAGGACCCAGAACCCCUGCUACCUCUAGGGGAGGUCUGAGGAUGUGGGGUGAGCAGCAGAGAGGCUGGUGCUAGGAGUGGUGUCAGUCUGGAGCAGAUGGAAAAGAGGAGGGAAGUAUACAAUGGUCUCAGGUGGUUACGUUGAACCACACUGUCGGCCCUGACAGAAUCCUAUUUGCUUUACAGCGGGGCUAAUUGACAAGGACAAAUGUGUGAGCUUCCAAGGAGAACUCAGCAGAACCAGAAAUUCUACCUCUAGGAAGUGUUUCUUUUAUUCCAGAAUUUCAAUCCUGUGGGAGUCAAUACAACAGGUCUAGCUUAGGGACCAAAACAUUCUAAGAAGAAGAAAAAAAAAAAAACAAAAACACAAGACCUAAGAUCAACAAGACCAAACCCAAGACCAAGAUACCCUGAGGCCCCUUUAAUAGUAAUUCCCUGUAUGUGGUCCAGAUGCCAACCUGUAUGAUGAGAAGUUCUUGGGGUACUGGUUAACAAUGAAAUUCCUUGGUCCCACCCAAGCCCCACCUCCCUUGGGGAGGGCCUGGUAAUCUACUUUUAUGACAAGAACCCAGAAAAUUGCUGUGCACACUAAAAUUUAACAAAACCUUGUCUAUACCUCAGGGUGCCUGGUGGCUCAGUCGGUUGAGCAUCUGACUUCGGCUCAGGUCAUGAUCUCAUGGCUUGUGGGUUCCAGCCCCAUGUCGGGCUCUGCGCUGACAGCUCGGAGCCUGAAACCUGCUUUGGAUUCUGUGUCUCCCUUUCUCUCUUCCCCUCUUCCGCUCACACUCUGUCUUUUUUUUCUGUCUCUCAAAAAUAAAAAUAAAUAUUAAAAAAAUUAAAAAAAAUUUUUUUUAAUGUUUAUUUAUUUCUGAGACAGAGAGAGACAAAGCAUGAGUGGGGGAGGGGCAGAGAGAGAGGGAGACACAGAAUCCGAAGCAGGCUCCAGGCUCCGAGCUGUAAGCACAGAGCCCGACGCAGAACUCGAACCCACGAACCGUGAGAUCAUGACCUGAGCCGAAGUCAGUCGCUCAACCGACUGAGCCACCCAGGCGCCCCCAAAAAUUUUUUUUAAAGAAAACUCUGUCUAUAUCUAUGCUGUUCAAUACAGUAGCCACUAACCGCUUGUGACUAUUUAUAUUAAUUAAAAUGAAAUAAAAUGUAAAAAUUCACUUUCUCAAUUAUGCUAGCCAUAUUUCAAGUGCCCAAUGGUCUCAUGUGGCUAGUGGCUACUGUAUUGGACAGUGCAGAGCAUUUCCACCAUCAUGAAGAAUUCUAUUGGACAGAGCUGGCUGUAAGGAACCCUGUAAAUGUGAUGUAGAAGAUUACAAAUAUUUUUGUACUGAUAGGUGAACUUUAAUCAAUUUUUCUACAGAAACAUUUGCUCCUAAAGAGUGAGCUCUGCAUUGGUUGGCAUUGAUCUGUGAGGUCCAUGGCUGUCUCUGUGGGUCACAUCUUUCCUGCCUUUUGGUUGGGCCAUACAGAGCCUCUACAGGAAUUAGGGGAGUAGAGCCAAAUACGGCGGCCUGAUACACCUCUAGAUAGGUAUGCUCUCAUGACCACCCCUCAGUGGGGCAGUGGAGUCUUUGUGCAAAGCAGAAGUCUCUCAGUGCUCUGGGCUGAUGCAAACCUGGGCCUGCACAGUGCAUAACAUAUAAAACCUUACGCAGUGGCCCUGAGUGGGGAGUAGAUUUAGCUGAGGUUGCAGAUGCCUUUGUCCAGAAAAGACAAAGCUUUAGCGUCCUAUUUUUCUAUAUGAAACUUAUUGCCAAAUUGGUUUCCAUACAACACCCAGUGCUCAUCCCAACAGGUGCCCUCUGCAAUGUUUAGGGUCCUAUUUUAAAGCACUUGCUAAGGCUGGGCCCCAUGCUGGUUCAGGGGACCCAAGAGCCCCUGACAGGAGGUCGGUGCCUUCAAGUUGUUCACAGUUGGGCUGGGAAGGGGCGCUAAAGAGAACAUCCAAUGCAGUGUGGGAAGUGCAGUGGUGAGGGAUGGCUUUCCUACAGGGAAGUUAACCUGCGGGAAGGGCAGGGACAUCUUCCUGGAUGCCUGAGACCAUACGGAAGGAAGACCAGGAGGCAGCCAAGUGACCAGGGCUGAGAAAGGCCAUGUGACAGAAGGGCAGCAGGACUGAAGGUAAGGGGAGACGCGGCGUGGUGUUUGGGGAGCCACACGUCUAAGCUGGGGCUGCGGGAGCUGAGGGUCCAAGUCAAAGAAUUGGAGAUGAGGGAGAGAGUCAGGCGGAGGCUGGGGCUGGAGCCACACAGCUGGGGCUCCAUCCUGCUUCCAACGGGGAGGCAUGGGAAGGCCUUCAGCUGCUCUGAUUGCCGCUUUAAAUAGAUUGCUUUGAAAAACAUAUCAGAAGUAAUAAUAUAUUUGUAGAUUGCAUUUUAUCUAAUUGCAUUUGAGCCUCACAACACUCCCUAGAGAAGCAAGUUAGGCAUUAUUUUCCAUUUUGUAGUGGAAAGCGAGGCUCAAAGAGGUGGCAUCAUUUUCCCAAGGGUCACAUGACCCCAGUCAAAAAUUUAGAAAAAAAUUCAAGAUUGUUUUAAUAUUAAGAUUUCCUAAUUAUGAAAGUAGUAUGCAUUCAUGAGAAAAAUUGGGAAACUAUAUAAAACUAUAGAGAAAAUAAAAUUCACCCAUAGAUCCACAUUCAACUGUUACCAUUUUAUUGUGUUGACUUUCAGUCACAACCACACACACAAUACUAUUUAUACCACAGAUAUAAACUUUAUAAUUACAUAUAAUAUGUGUAGAUAUUGUACAUUCUAUAUGUAUUACAUAUAUAUUUUCAUGUAUUAGCAUUUUGUAUCCUGCUUUUUUUUACUUUACAGUUUAUCAUAAGCAAUUUUACAUGUUUUUAGAUAGUUUUAGAAGAUUUUUAAUGGCCGCAUGUACUGAUAAUUAAUUUCUUGCUCUUAGAGAUUUUUAAAUUGCUUCUGAUGUUUUCUGCUCGUACAAAUAUCGUUUAAGGAAUCUUACCAUUACCUUUGGAUAAAUGUCUUAAAAAAUUACUGUGUCAAGAAGUAUGACCCCUACUAAAGCUUUUUAAAAAUUUUUUUAAAUGUUUAUUUAUUUUUGAGAGAAAGAAAAAAAGUAUGAGUGGGGCAGGGGCAGAGAGAGAGGGGGACAGAGGAUCUGAAGCAGGCUCCACACUAACAGCACAGAACCCGAUGUGGGGCUUGAACUCACAAACCAAGAGAUCAUGACCUGAGCUGAACUUGGACGCUUAACUGACUGAGCCACCUGGGUACCCAUAAAGCUCUUGAUACUUUUUGCCAAACCGUCCUUCAGGAAGGUUAUGCCAAUUUGCUCUCCUGCCAGCUGGGUGUGACGGUGUUCUCUUUACUGAAGCGUUGCCACACUGAAGCCUCUGUGACAUAGCUCAGGGUAGGGACUUGCACUGUCAUUGCGGUGAUGCAAUGAGGACCCCGGACACAUUGCCUUUUCCUUCGGGCAUUCAAUGACAAGUUAGACUUGCUACUCAACAAGUUCCCAAAGCCAGGGUUCCUUACCUCGUGGUGUUUCAUGAUGGGGGUUUUAAAGCUUUGGAUAAACAUAGGAAACAGAGAUUUGUGUACAGAGCUAGAGGAAAGCUCUUUUAACCAAUAAAUACUGUGAAAUGAAAUCCAUCCAUCUGAUCCUCAAUCCCACUUAAAGGGGUUUUAAUAGACUUGAGGGUGUGUUUGAUCACUGCAUCUUACUUUGAAUGAAGGAAAAAGCGUUUCCCAGGGAGAAGGAAAAAACCUCGUACUCAAGGGGUGCCUGGGUGGCUCAGUCGGGUAAGCAUCUGACUUCGACUCAGGUCGUGAUCUCACCGUUCUUGAGUUCGAGCCCCGCGUCGGGCUCUGUGCUGACAGCUCAGAGCCUAGAGCCUGUUUCAGAUUCUGUGUCUCCCUCUCUCUCUGCCCCUCCCCCACUCGCACUCUGUCUCCCUCUGUCUCAAAAAUAAAUAAACAUUGAAAAAAAAAAACCAAAAACCUCAUACUCCAAUGUGGAGAAGACACUCUCAGGCCUCUUGAGGCAUGCUGUGGGUGGGGUCUGAUUUGCUCCAAAGCAAAUAGAGUGUGGGUCAAUGAAAUGUCAGUUGUGCAGCUCCUUUCCCUGGCUCUAGUUCAUGGGUGGAAAUGCAAACCAGAAAGAGAACAAGUGUCCCUCCAGAGUUGAUGGGAGCACAAGCAGAGUGAGUCUUAGAGAGGUCCUGAGACGCUUAGAGUUGCAAGGAGCUGAGAGGUGGCCCCACUAGAAGGUGGCAGAGGUAACUGUAGGCACAGUCUGGGCCACCUCAGGGAUGUUGGAGGAUGGAAAGGAGGUAGUUGGAUCUCAAGGGGAGUGCAGAGUCAAGACCCUAGGCCUUCUUCUCUGUCUCCCAGUGGCCACUUCAUUUUCUUUGCUCUCCCUCUCUGUUUCUUUCCACCCAUCUCUGGUUAAUCACCUGUCAUGUGGCCGCAAAGCAGCCAUCUUGGCCCCUAAGUCAGUGUGAGCUUUCAGCUCUGGGACUCUCCAUCAACCUGACAAUACUCUCCAUGUCUCUCAAAUCGGAUUCCUGAAGAGAGAUGUCUUGGCCCAGCACAUCUACAGGUGGUCUCAGUCUCUAGGUCAAGUGACCACCCCUAUCCCCUCAGUCACAGGCAGUCAUUAAGAGGACAGAUGAGUCACCAGGCAUAGCAUAGAGGGCCGCAGGUUGCGGGCAGAGUGCUGUGGUCAACUACAGAAUGUUUGAAGUGUGAAAAGAAGUUCAGUUUUCCUCUCUCUCUCUUUUUAAAACAUUUAUGUAUUUAUUUUGAGAGAGAGAGACAGAACAUGAGAAGAACAUGAGACAGAACACGAGAAGGGAGGGGCAGAGACAGACAGAGAGGGAGAGAGAGAAUCCCAAGCAGGCUCCGCGCUGUCAGCGCAGAUCCCAGGGUGGGGCUCCAUCCCAUGAACCAUGAGAUCAUGACCUGAGCCAAAUCCAGAGCCAAACGCUCAACCUACUGAGCCACCCAGGCACCCCCAGUUUUUCUCUUUUAAGACAGGCUCACAAUAUCCAUGAGACCAAACCAGAGGAAAGGUCAGAAAGGAAGAGGCUGGGGACAAGGCUUGUCUGGGCACAGAGGGAAGGUAUACAGGAGCCCAAAGAGCUUUGGCCUUGGAGUCAGAGGACCUGGGUUCAAAUCCUGGCUGGUGUGCCUGGGAGCGAGGUCUGCCUGGGGCCAGGGACUCUACAGGUUGCAUUCCAGCUCUUCAUCCCAGAUCCUGCUACCGUGCCUGAGAAGAAAAUUAUACUGUAUACAUGAACGUGAUUUUCAAAUUGCAAAUCAUAACCUUUACAGUAGAAGUUAAUGGCUCUUAGUGGCUGUGAUCUUUCUGGGCUCUCCGGAAAAGCAGAGUAAGACAGGUAUGACCGGUUCUAGAGCAAAGGAGAACUCAAAAUUCACAAUCACAUGACCCUUUGACUCUUUUAAAAAUCAUUGAAGACCCCAAAGAGUUAUUUGUGUGGGUCCAAAGCACUAUGUUCAAAGUUAAAGCUAAGGAUUAAAAAAAAGCACUUGACAAUCCAUUGUGAGAAAACACUAAACGUUAACAUAAAUUCAUAUUGUUAUUUUAAAAUAGUGAUAUUUUUCAAAACCAAAAAAAUCAAGUGAGAAGAUUGGCAUUGUUUCACAUUUUUGCAAUGUCUUUAAAAUUUUUUUAAUGUUUAUUUAUUUUGGGGAGAGAGAGAGAGAGAGAGAGAGAGAGUGGGGGAGGGGCAGAGAAAGAGGGAGACACAGAAUCCGAAGCAGGUUCCAGGUUCUGAGCUGUUAGCACAGAGCCCAACGUGGGGCGCGACCUCAUGAACCGCAAGAUCACGACCUGAGCUGAAGUUGAACGCUUAACGGACUGAGCCACCCAGGCACCCCAUUUCUGCAAUAUCUUUAAUAUCUGGCCUGCCACAAUCUGUUGGGAUAUGCGGUUUUGACUGAGGUAUAUGAAGAAAAUCUGUCCUCCGUGCAUGUAUAGUUGGAAAUGAGGGAAUUAUCUUAAUAGCCUUUUCAGAUCAUUAUGGAUGUUCUUUGAUAUCAUACUCCCUCAAUAAGCAGUAGUUGAAGUUGCAAUGUGGAAUCUGAAAUCAUAUCAACGAAUUUUUCAUUCUUUGUUCUGUUGCCACCCAUUGGCCUCUCUUGCACUCUGAGUACAUCUUUUACCAGUGCAGGAUUUUGUAAAAGCGUGCAUCGGUCAUUUGGAAAAUACCGUUUCAGCGAGUUCUGCAGAGCUUCUAAAUGUUGACAUAUUUCCUUACAUGGUAUUAAAAAAUUCCAUUCAUUAAUUUUACCACCAGUCUCAUCAGAAAAGUCUUAGGAUAUUGGGAAGCUGUCAAGCUUACAGUGGUAGAUGCAGAGUGUUCCAAAAAUUGAAAAUUUUUGUUUAAAAGCUCAAAUUCUAUUGCUGGCAACAAAUACUGUCAGUCGGUUUCUUUGACGUGACAGGCUCACUUUGUUCAUUUUAGAAAAUUUCUGCCAGAUCCCUGGUCUGAAUAACCACAUUUUGUCUGUCAGUGAUUCUUUUAAGCAAAAACGGUGUUCCGUUUUCUUAAAAAGGCUAGUUCAGCUCCCAGCGCAGACCUAUCACAUAGUGCCUUUCGUCAGCCACUGUGCCUCAGCAUCCAAACUGCUUAAUGUGUACUUCCCGACCUGUCGCACAGAACAUUAAAGCACAUAUACUCAAGGGUUAAGAGUAAUACAAUUAAUAAUAAAAUUAAUAAUGUUUACCACCUCAUCGAGAACAUUCUUUUUUUAAAAAAAUGUUUAUUUAUUUUUAAAUUUUUUUUAACGUUUAUUUAUUUUUGAGACAGAGAGAGACAGAGCAUGAACAGGGGAGGGGCAGAGAGAGAGGGAGACACAGAAUCCGAAACAGGCUCCAGGCUCUGAGCUGUCAGCACAGAGCCCGACGCGGGGCUCGACCAAGCCACCCAGGCGCCCCCCAAAAAUGUUUAUUUUUGAUAGAGAAAGACAGAGCGCAGGUCAGGGAGGGACAGAGAGAGAGAGGGAGACACAGAAUCAGAAGCAGGCCCCAGUCUCUGAGCUGUCAGCACAGAGCCCGACACGGGGCUCAAACCCACGGACCUGAGAUCGUGACCUGAGCCAAUGUUGGAUGAUGAAUUGACUGAGCCAGCCAGGUACCCUGCAUUUCUUUAUUUUCUAAAUGAAACUAACCCUGGCUUGAGGAAGUCUGCUGUACUUUCUUCUGGGAUUCCUUCCUCCUCUCUCGGGUCAGGCACAGACAAAAGGCGAGGGCCUUGGUUCCUUGGGGCUGAUGCUGACCAGCUCCUUGCCCAGGCCUUCUGGGUCCCUGCAGAUGCCGGUGUCUCCGAAGGCGGCUCCACCACCCAGAGCCCUGCUCCGUGGUGGGAUCCUCCACAGAGCCUCCGGGCUCUGGAACGUGGUGGCCUGCCUGUCCUCACAGACCCUCGUGCCAAGAUUCUGCCUCCUCAAGGUGCAUUGGCUCAGGUCCCUUCACCCUGCAGCCUGCAACCCUCCUUCUCUUUAGGAAGAUCCUACAUUUCUCCGCUGGAUCAGGCCUCCCCCUUGGCAAUCCCUGAAGUCCCAAGCCUUCAAAAUUCUCUUCUCUAGCAUUCUGGUAUAAUUCACCGAAUAGACCUAAUAAGCCAAAGGUCCAUGGCCCCCAGACUCUGCAUGAGUUUGACUGCAAAUGGUUUUUUGUUUUUUUUUUUUUUGAAUUUGAAUUAAUUGCCCAUAUUUAAAAAUCGAGAUCUUCACAGACAACUGUGAUAGUCUUCUCUAGAAGCAUUAGAGGGUCUGGAAACCUUAGGCCUGCAUUGUUACAUGGUGGCAGUGGCUAAAGGCGAGACAAAUGUGUCCUCUGUGUUGCCCGAGACCUACCGUUCCCUGUCACUUCACAGCAGCCUUCUCUGCUCAUUCACUUACUCGCCUGACGUCAUUGAAGCCUUGAGCUUGUCAUCUUUGUCCAGCCCUUUGAAGAACACAGGCUUUUUCGAGGUUUAUCUUCUCCCACCUGGCAAACCACACACAAAUAAUUUUUUUAAUCGCCCUGUUAUGGCCAAGAAGACAGAGAUAAGCCAGCCCGACAACUUUUUACAAAAGGAUCGCUAUGUUUCCUUAAGCCCGGUUUAAAACUGGGGGCUUCUCAGGGCGCCUGGAUGGCUCAGUCCGUUGAGUGUCUGACUCUUGGUUUCUGCUCAGGUCAUGAUCUCACGGUUGGUGAGCUCGAGCCCUGCACUGGGCUCUGCGCUGACAGCGAGGACCCUGCUUGGGAUUCUUUCACGCCCUUUCUCUCUGCUCCUCCCCCACUCGCGCUGUCUCUGUCUCUCUCAAAAUAAAUAAACUUAAAAAAAAAAUAAGUGGGGCUUCUCCCCAGCCAUGCUGCCAGUGUUUCCCACGGGCAUGUGUCUGUGUAGACGCCACUCACUCCUGGACCCCAUGCAGACCAAGAAGGCACCUGGACCUCCGCAACCACCAUUUCCACCUCCCCUGAAUGAAGUAGAUGAAAUGAGGGUGACAUCAACCCACGUCACAGGGGCUGCUGGGCAGAAGCAUUUGCACAAGGAAACUGAAGUCCAACAAGGCCUAAAACAGCAUCAGUCAGCAGCUUUUCUCACCUUCAUUUCAUCCUACCGACCUCUUGCAAUGACCCUGGGAGAGAGAAGACUGAAUAAGAGGGACCCGUGGGAACUUUGAUGCUGACUUUUAAAACAGUGCAUGUUUAGGUGUUUCAGGCUGGUGAGCCGUCAGGUGACAGGGGAAGGGGACGGGAGCGUACAGGGCAUGCAGGUUGGAUUUUUCAUUUCCUGGUUCCUUCUGAAGAAAUAUAUUGACGGAGGGUUGGUGGGGGGGGGGGCACCUGGGUGGCUCAGUCGGUUAAGCAUCCGACUCUUAAUUUGGGCUCAGGUCAAGAUCUCACCGUUCAUGAGACUGAACCCCGUGUUGGGCUCUGCUCCGAUAGCACAGAGCCUGCUUGGGAUUUUCUGUCUCCCUCUCUCUCUCUCUCUCUCUGCUUCUCCCCUGCCUAUGUGCAUUCUUUCUCUUUCUCUCUCCCUCUCAAAAUAAAUAAAUAAACUUAAAUUAAAAAAAAAAGAAACAUAUUGAUAACCAGGGACAGAACUUUCCAAGUCGUGCAUAGUGUUGACACUUCAAUAUCGCAAACCAAAUGGGAAUACAAUCUUUGAAACCCAAACAAGGUGAAGCUUCUCCAACUGAAGUUUGUAGAGGACUUGGAGUAUUGCCUACUAAAGGGCUCUUGGGACCCCUUCACACAAUCCCUGGGGUCCUACGGAGCACUGUUGAACAGCUACAGAUCUAACUUAUGCAAAGCUCAUAAGAGGAAACACGGGAAGUUCUUGACUGAGUCCAGCCAAACAUGAGGAUGUUAGGUAGUUGACAAUAUGCUGUUGAGGAAGACCAUAGCUUGAUGAAUGUAGGACAUGGGUUGGAAAUAAUCGCUGACUUACCAGCUGGGUGUCCAGGGUAGAUCACCCCAUCCCUGGCUGAGCAUGUCAUAUUUUGAGCCUCCUCAACACCAGCCGUCAUUCACAGUGUAGUGGUUCUGAUUAUUCAGAUGAGACUGGGGGAGCCAUUUUGGCCAGCUCCUCUCUGUGUUCAUCGUCAUGUGAAAUCAUGGGGCUUUUGUGGCCACUGGCUCCUGCCACAGGCUGCUCCUGGGUCAGGGCCAGAGAUCAGGCCCGAGGGAGGCUAGGAGAUGAGGCAGUUUAGGGAAACUGGAGGCGGGAGGAUGCGGGGAGUAGUUCAGAGUCAGCCUCACUGUUGCUUUUCUCUCUUCUUUUGUAUAAAAAGAUCAAUCUCAUGUCUAAUUCAUUUGAAAAUUCCCCACUUCUCUGUGUGUGUUUUUGGUAAAAAUAGAAGUCUCUGAGGAUUGCGGGCUCCUGCUGAAUUUUAUGAGCAACUUUCAAAGCUUGCUAACCAGGUUCUUCUGAUCUUUCCUUGAGUGAAUUAAGCACCAGUGGGAGGCUUGCUUUCCGGGUGACUGGUUUGAGUAAAAGGCUUCCAGGGUUGGGGGUAGAAGACUUUUAAGGUCAUUUGAUCAAUUUGCAGACCCUGGAAAACACAACAGAGUGCACAGGUUGGCAGGAAGUUGGCCCCGUCACCCCUGUGCCCACCCUUCCCUGCCCCUCCCUCCCUCUCUCCUCCCUUCUCCUUUCUCCCUCUGUCUCCUCUUUCCCUCCUCCCUCCCACUUUCUUCCCCCUUCCCACCUUUAUCCUUCUUCCUCUCCUUCUUUUCUUCCCUUCCUCUUUUCUUCCUCACUGUCCCUUGUUGGGACAGUGUCCCAACCAUCACUCUCUCUGCAGCAGACUCCCAGCUCACCUCCCGGCUUGCAGCCUUGCCCCUGUCCAAGCCAGGGAGUGCUUUCCAAAGGCCAAAUGUGAUCGUAUUUCCUCCCAGCUUUAAACCUUUAGUGCUUCUCUGGUUCAAAAAUUUCUUCAGUGUUAGAAGUCAGGAUACACGUUUACCUUUGAGGAGGAAAGUGGGAUUGGUGGUGGAGAAGGCAGGUUUCUGGAGGGUUGGCAAUGCUUGAUUUCUUACCUUGUGUGGUCGUUACACGAUAGUCCUAUUGUGAUAAUUUAUUGAGCUCUGCCAUGACAAUGUGUGAACUUUUCUUUACACAUGUUAUACUCCCAUAAAUUUUUUAAAAAACUGGUUCAGUGUUGAAUAUCACCCUCCUGUGCUUUCCAAGGUGGGGGUGAAGAAUGGCUUUGAAUACCAGGGAAGGGGGCUAUGGGGAUUGCUGCAGGGAAGGGGGAGUCACUGAAUCUUGUGACAGCUUUGAAGCUGGAGUAUCAAAAUAAUGAGCUAAUUUCAGUAGCUGCUGGUGUGACAGAUUUGUAGACUGUCUGAUGAAUGGUGCUAUGGACCUGCAGUGUUCUGAGAUGAGGAUGAUUCAAAGAAGCCUCUAGAAUCCUUUACAAAAGGUUAUGGUUUGGGAGAGGAGAGCAGGGAGAAUUAGUCCUGGCCCAGUUCCCAUCCAAGAAAGGAUUUGUUUCGGAUGAAGGUUGAUGAGGCACCGGCUUGGUGUUGCUCUUAGCAGGGCCGUGAGGUUUCUCCAUAGGAAAGCUUUCCUGAAGUGAUCAGGGCUCCAACAGGAUAGAAAACCACAGGGCCUGGGAGGGAUGCGAGGUCUUCCUCAGAGGCAGGCUGUAAAACUGUUCCUGAGAGGUGACCCUAACGGGUGGGCCAAGAAAGCGUUCCCGGAGGAAGCCUAAGGGUGCUGAGACACCCCCCCCCGAUGGUCCCAUGGAGUUAAGGGAAUAGGGGCAGCUAUAGGUCUCAGAGUAAUGGAAGAAUGAAUGUGUGGUGAGUGAUGGGGAACAGGCAGAGAGGCUCCCUCGCCUCUCAACCGGGUCACCAACUUGCUGAGCUUUUGCAGUCAUUGGACUUUUUGUUCACUGCAUUAAAAACAACAACAACAACACUCUUCAUAAACGGUGUCUGUCUCCACUUAGCACUUUGCACAUGCCAUUGAUGUUUACCUUCUCACGCCUUGGCCUCCCUGUUGGCCAUGGCCAUGAUGGCAGCCCUGGCCCUUUAUAACAUUGUAGUCAUCUCCAGCACCACAUCUGACACCUUGCAGGUGCUCGGUGAGCAUUUGUAGAGCAGUCGGAGGUGUGCAGAUCUUCAGAGGGAGAGCUUGCUUCCAUUCUGCAACCUCCCUGAGGGGUGGGACUUACGAUCUCCCGGAAAACUGAGGCUCAGAGAAGAUCAUUCAGAGCAUAUGGCUUAUAAGUGGUGGGACUGUGAUUCACACUCUGUAUUAGGAAAGCCCUUGCCCUGAAUCUCUAUGCAGCGCUCACCCCAUCGACUCCACCCUAGUGUUCCCCAUCAGCAAUCCUACAGGUUGCUAGGACUCCUACGAAUACCCUGUGAAUACCCUAAGUUAUUCAGGAUGACUUAGCCCUCCCGUCAAUGAAUGGAUCCCAAAUAUCCCAAAGAUCAGGUUUCCUAGCCAAAUGGACAAGUCCUCCUGAGAGCUGGCCCCUGGCUUCGCCUCUGGUUCCAUCUCCAGCCACAUGGUGUCCUGCAUUAAUCACACCGAAAUACCCAUAGUUGUGUGCCUAUGUCAUCCCCCUUUGAUGGGUUUCUCUUUCUAGAAUAAUACUUUGCCAUCUCUACUGGGCUGGGUAAAUAUAAAUAUAUUAUAAAUUAUAAUAUAAUUAUAAUUAUAACUAAGAUGCCCUUGACUACAGACAGCACAAAACCCACCCCUAAAUGGUGUAAGCAACGAGAGGACUUAGCAUCUCACGUGGUAAGAGAUCCUGCGGGAGGGGAGGCCGCUGGUGCAGAGUGUCAGGUCUCUGCCCCUCUCUCCGCUCUGACCCUCUUUGCAUUGACUUCAGCCUCAGGCUGGUGGCAAGAUGGCUGGGGUGGUUCCAGGGCUCACAUCCAGACACAUCAACAUCGUGCACAAGGAAACAUGGAUGGCUUCUUCCUGUGUCUGCCUUCCCGGGCACCCCCGCACAUCCCCUGCAUGGCUCCUGGCCAGGCCUGAUCGCAGACCUUCCCUGAGUCAAGGAGAACAGCAUUAAAAUCCAUCAGGAUAUACCCCUGGAGCUGGGGAUUGAGUGGAUCAUGCUGGGGAGAGGAGAGCACCCAAAAGAGUGAACUCUGUCUGCAAGGAAGGUCUCAGGAUUGAAGUGGCUCUAAAAGGUAUCCAGCCUAACCUUUCUAGGGAAGCCUCCUCCAGCUGGCAUUUUAGCCUCCUCACACCGCCAAUUCUUUCUUCACCAGCCCCUUCCCCACUGCCAAUGUCCUUGGCCUGGCCCUUUGCUCUUUGGCACAGUGCCCCUCUUUUGUGGCCCCACCUGGCCACAUCCCCCUGCUGUGCUUCCCACACGCCUUGUUAGCUCGCUGGACUCUAUGUGCCGCCUACCCACAACCCUGUGCCUUCUCCCUGGUCAGUGCACGCUUCUCAUGGAGGGGGCUCAGCCAGAUUAACCCUGCCCACCCGUGUCGCUGUCCUCCCACAACCCUCUAGACUUGGGGAUCCUCUCCACGGAUUUACCUGCUGAUGCUUUGCUUGAAAACCUUCUCAGUUCCAAAGUCAUUUCUCAUGCAUUUCACAGGCAUGUUUUUUGUUCCUUGAUAAGAAUGGUGUCUUCUAAUUCUUUGGCAACACCAGAGACAAUGAACCUCAUGCAUGCACACACACACACACACACACACACACACACUCACACACGCCGUCUUCCUACUUGAAAGCCACACUGGGAAGGGAGGCAGCCAAUCAGUGCCGCUAAGUAGCCAGCGUGCCCUCAGCCUGGCGUCUCGCCCUUGCCCUCGCCCCUCUGUUUGCAGAGAUGGCAGCUGCCUCUGUAUGUCUGGAAGGUUGCAAAAGGCGCAGCUCCAGCAGCUAGGGCCAGAAAACCCUAGGACCAAUUUGCUUUUUGGGGCUAGAGUGUUAGUCUUGGGGAAUAACUGAAGCUCUAUGGUGAACAAGCUUCCUGAGCCACUGCUAGGGGGUGAUCGCGGGAAACCAUUCCUGGGGGUGGCAGGAGCCCCUUGGGGGAGAAGCUUGUUUCGGGUGGGGUUCUUGGCUGCAAGCAACAGAAAUCAACUUUGUCUGGCUCAAGCNNNNNNNNNNNNNNNNNNNNNNNNNNNNNNNNNNNNNNNNNNNNNNNNNUAGGACCAAUUUGCUUUUUGGGGCUAGAGUGUUAGUCUUGGGGAAUAACUGAAGCUCUAUGGUGAACAAGCUUCCUGAGCCACUGCUAGGGGGUGAUCGCGGGAAACCGGAACCCGUGGAGCACCUGCGAUGUGCUCUGUACCUGUUCCUCUUUCAGCCAGCGCUGCUUCUCUGCCAGUCUGUCUCUGCGUCCGUCUGUCUGGAGGGUUCCACAUAACUCUGCUAAGCUCAAAUAGCAUCCGGUGGUAAAGUCCCCAGGAAAAGUUUCUUCUCUUUUUUUUCUGUUGUUGUUAUACUUUGUUGCAAAACCUUUUGCUUGGCCUCAGCUCAGCCCAUAAGAGAGUGCAUUGCCCACCUGCUUGCCUCUCUACUGGGGGAUGAGCUCCUGAAGGCCAGGAAUCAUAAUUUUUCUAGAUCUUUGGGUCCUCUGAGGACGGAUCCAUGCCUGCCAGGUAAUAAUAAAUAAAUUCUUGUGGAAUUAAAUUAAUUGUUGCUGAGGGCAAUAGAAAUCAAGAUUCAGAAGGAGUGAAUGAACCCAGAACUUAAAUACAGAGACUCUUAAAUAUGUAUUUCUCCCCUUUAUUAUGGUGCAUGGAAAGAGAAAGGAGAAAAAGGGAAGGAAAUAGAAGAAGUAAAGAUUGACCAGGGCUCUCCCUCUCUCGAUGAGCUUCUUUUAUUUUUUAAAAAAUGUUUAUCUAUUUAUUUUGAGAGAAAGUGUAUGUGCGUGGUGAAGGGGCAGAAAGAGAAGGAGAAAAUCCCAAGCAGGCUCUGUGCUGUCAGCAUGGAGCCCGGUGUGGGGUUCCAUCCAUCAUAUGAACCGCAAGAUCAUGACCUGAGCCCACAUCAAGACUCGAGGCUUAACCGACUGAGCCACGCAGGCGCCCCUCCCUCUCUAAAUGAGCUUCUUAAGAGCAAGAACUAUUCUAUAUCCUGUGGCCCUUCUCAGUGCCUAGAAUAUGGGAAAUGAUCCAUAAAUACUUGUUGAGUAAAUACAUGGGAUAUGGGUCAGGUUGUGCUUUGGGGCUGGAUUCUGAGCACUGAUUGAGGUAGGGCACGAGGACCUUGGAAUCUAAGAUGGGAUAGGGCAGCCCUUAUGAAGGAUAAUCAGUUUGGCCUCUGUUGCCAAGACCUGUGGUUGACCAACUAGCUUCUCUGUCUUCAGCCUCCCCCAACCCCUACUCCCUACCCUCAGCUCCAGCACCUGCAAGGUCACAUUUCAGACUCUAAACUGAGGCCUUUGAGACCAAACCUGUCCCUCAUGUAUGCCAGACCCCCUGGAAAAACGGUAAGUGGAGGCCCAGGGGCCAUAUGUCCAAACAUAAUCAAGUUAUAAACCAAGUGAAGCACCUGUUCAAUAAAAUAUAUGCUAGCCUCCCAUUUUGACAAAUAUAUCUUCAAAACAACAACAAAAAAGGUGUAUAAAGCUAUAGCUUUUAUAUGAUGGAAAUUUAGCCAAAUAUGAAAGAUGACUGACUUAAAUUAUAAUUAAAAUCUAGGCAUUCUGUUGAUGAACCAGUGAUAACAGGGCGAAUUAUAAAACAAAAGCACAUCUAAUUCAUAAAUGACUAUGCAUUUACACCAUAAUUUUAGUGUUUAUGUUUUUGUUUCAGGAAAAUCACUAGUUGUGUUAUUAUACAACCAAGAUAUUCACAUCACGUGUUCUAUUGAUGGUAAUGAUCUGGAUUAAAAAAACAAAAUAAUUAACAAUAAUAUCUUUAAAAAAGGGAUCAUAUUCAAAGGAUUCAAAGUCUUAGCAUAUUUUAUCAUAAAGUGUAGCUCAAACUAAAUGGAAACUAUUUGAACAUAAAAUUUUCAUGUGCAUUUCAGAAAAGUAAUAUUUCUUUUACUAUGAUAAAAUUAAGGGUAAAAUACAAAUUUAAUGAAUAUAAAAAUGGUUCACCAAAGUUAUUUCAAUCAAGCUAAAUAAAACUAUUCCUACAAUUGUAGUAUGUAAUAGCCAUACAUUACCAGUGUAAAAAACCAGUAUCAUCCCUUAUCACAUUGUGUCUAGACCACUGGUUCUCACCGGGGGGUGGUUUUGUCCCCCAGAAGCGUUUGGAGAUGUCUGCAGACAUCUGUGGUUGAUACAGCUUGCUAUGGUAUCCAGCCAGGAGGGGCCUGGGAUGCUGCUAAAUAUUCUACAAUGCAUACAAAAAAGACUUCACCACUCUAAGAUGUCAGUAGUGCUGAGGUUGAGAAACCCUGGUAACACACACACACACACACACACACAGAAGAGACUCAUGAACUGUUGGAUACUGCCAAAUGUUCUUUCACUGCUAUGUGCAGUUGUUGUGGAUACUACGCUAAUUAUGGGUAACUCCAGAAUCACGAAUUGGAACAUGAAGAGAAGCAAGAAAAUGGACAGGCGACACAGACUGCAUUCUGCAAGAAUCUGUGGCCCUCUUGCUAGGUGAGAGGAAGAAUUUGACGUUUUGAUUAAUUGUCUUUUCUUUUACCUAAGCGCUUCUGCCUAUCAGUUACCCUCCCCCCCGCCACCCCCCCCUUAGCUAAUGCACAUUCUGAAAUAAUGUCCAUCUCCAACGUCAGAAACAACACAGCCCACAGAUCUUGACGUUCGGACGCAGUCACCUUUUGUUUCAAGGUCGUAAGACAAGAGAUGUGGAGAAGGGCUGUCCUGGGGCCUGAAUGGUGUCAUUCCAAGAGUGGGUGUUUAAGGUUACGGAUCAUGCUGUACCAGAGUCAGGCAGCAGAUCCCGAGUGACAGAGGUGCCCAUGUUUUCCUUCAUAAAUGUAGUUUCUGUGUGUUUGUGACAUGGUGAUGGGGGUGGGGGGGAGCUCUGAAGCCUGAGGCCCAGGGCAGGGGCUAGGAGCUGCCAUGUCCCAUUAUCAACCUCGGGCUCGGAGCAGGAACAGGGAGGAGCUGAGAGGCUGUUAACAUCAGAUCAUCUGCAGUUUUCCAACUCUUUUGCAGAACAGCAUGCUGUUUAGCUGCCAAAAUAUUAGGACUGAAAGCAGCUGGCAAAACUGUUCAUGGAGGAAGUGAGCCUGCUCGGAGAGGCCAAAGGAAAAUUCUCCUCGACUGUGACCCCAGAAGGACCCCCGGGCCUCAGGACCUCUUUUGGAAGCCUCUGCUCAGUCAGCUUGGGGCUCCCUCAGACCCCAGGGCCCCGGGGGCUCCUUUGAAGAGGUAUGUUCUGAGACCAGUGCUUAUUGCUGGUCCUUUCUGGGGCAGUGGGACUGAGGAGACCCUUGUCAUUGCUCAAAGAAAUUCUCAGCCUCAUACUGAACUUAUUCUCAGCUUAUGUUUAGUGAAACCGGAAAACAAAAAGAAGUAGACAGAAAAAGCUACCUCCAUAUAUAACUCAGCUAAUACUUCUAAAGAGACAGGCCCAACGGGGAACAAAUGACAGCCGCCUGUGCAAGUGAGUAUUGAGAAGACAGAGGGGACCCAUGGCUUUACUGAGACUCAUCCCUGCAGCCGUUUACAAGUCUCUUUCCAAACGGCUAUCACUUGGUCCUCACUGCGACCUCAGGACAGGUAGCCAGGCAGGUUUCUUUUCAUUUUACAGGAUACUGACUUUGAAAGAUAGAGUCACUCACUCACUCAGGAAGGCACAUCCAGGAGGCAGCAGAACCAAGAGUAAGACUUGGUCUUUUGGCUCUAAAAUCGUGCUCUUUCCAGUGACAUCAGUGUUUCAGUCUGUGGACCCUAGAAGUUUCCAUUUUUAUAAGGGGUUUGUGAAUCCAAAUGUAUAGUAGUUUCCACCUGUAGCCUCAGCUGAUAGAUUUAUAACCACCGUCAUGUGAAGAGGGUCUAGACUCUAUUGACACUGAUAAGAGCUCUUAUGGAAGAGUCUGGCAACCGACACAUUACCCCCUGCUGUAUCAAGUCUCCUGGCAGAGAGGUGACAUUCUUUAUCACUAGCGACACAGGGCACAAAAAUUCCUACAAGUGGACAGAGCUAGGAUUGAGACACAAAUCUUGGCUUUAUGUUUUGUGGUAUGCAAUGGACUCGUGAUUCAGAUAGAGAACACUGCCCAGAGGACGUGGGAGGUGCUCAAAAAUUUUAUCAACUGACCAAGUGACUAAAUUGGAGACGAGGAGACGUCAAAUGCCAAAGGGAAAAGCAGCCUCCGGGUGGCAAGUAAGGUGGGGAAAUCAGCAAGGGAAUCCCCUCACCCAUGAGGGAAAAGGAAUGGAAACAAACAGCAAAAGCAGUUAGCAGAUUGUUAAAAACUGGAAAGCUUUUGGAAUAAUGACAUAACUGUGCAGUCUCAUUAGACGUUCUAAUGGGAACAGAAAAGAAAUACUCGCCGCCAAUUUCCUUUCUGUUCCUGUAAUCUGUAGUACAUUUUUAAAGUAUCUAGUAGGGUGUUAAGUCCUUUUCAAUCACUACGAGUUCAUCCAUUCAUUCAACAAAUGUUCAUGGCGUGGCUAUUAAUAUGCCAGGCACUGAUCUGGUGUUGGGGAUAUAACAGUAAACAAAACAGACAAGAGAUUACCCUCAUGGAGCUCACAUUCUAGACAAUGAAGAAAUGAAAACUUAAACUACAACAGUAUAUCAGGUGGUGACAAGGGCUAUAGAGAUGAUGGCAGGGGAGAGACCUAGAAAUUGGCAAUUUUAAAUACGAUGAUCAGGGACAGCCUCAUUGAGAAAGUGAUGCUUGAACCAAAGCCUGAGGAUACGAGGGAGCAAAUCAAGCAGAUAUCUGAGGGAGGAACAUACCUGGUGUUCAGGAGCAACAAGGAAGCCAUUGCAGGGGAACAGAGUGAGAUAGAGAAGCAGGACGAGACUGGAGUCUGGGUUACACAGGACCGUACAGGCUAUUGAAGGGUUAGGAGCUCUUACCCUGAGUAACAUGGGAAGAGGUGAUGUGAUCUGACCUGCAUUUUAGCAGGUUUCUCUGGCUACUGUGCUGAGAAUAAAAGUAGGGAAUCAAGGGUGGGAUUAAGGACAUCAGUUAGAAGGUUCUGGAAAAAGUCAAGAAGAGAGAUGAUGGUCGUCUGGACCAAGGUGGUAGCAGUGGAGGUGGUGACAAGUGACUGGACUCUGGAUGUUUUAUGAAGGUGGGAAAGGCAAGAUUUACUAAUAAAUUAGAUGCAGAGUGGGAGGGAAAGAUUUAUCAAGGGUGAUGCCAGGGUUUUGAACCUGAACAAUGACAAGAAUACAGUUGCCAUUUAACUAACGCAAGGAAAGCAGUGGAGGGAGCAUGGGUUUGGAGGAGAAAAUCAGAAGUUUGGUUUUGAUUGUGUUGCGUUUGAGAUAUAUUUGUGUGUGUGUGUGUGUGUGUGUGUGUAUCUCAAAGGAGAGGUUCAUAUUUGAAGUAUGAAUUUGGAAGCCAUAUCACAAAAAGAGUACUGAGAACAUUUACCAAGAGAGUAUUGGAGAGGAAAAAGGGUCAGAGAACUGAAGCCUGGAGAUUUGAGCAGGUUGUAAUCAACCAAAGCCUGGGAAUGGGUGGCUAGUGAAGUAGGAGGAAACCAGGGAAGUGUAGACCACCAGGAAUCAAGCGAAGAAACUGUUUCAAGAAGCGUUGCUAUCUCACCUGGGGCAAAGGCUGGGAGACAGUAGGCAAGAUGAGCAUUGAGAAUUAAUUGCCCAUUAAACUUAGUAACAUGGAAGUCAACACUGAACUGGACAAGAACAGUUUCUGUGAGGCAAAUGACAGCUUGACUAUUGAGGGUUAAGAGAAAACAGGAAGAAAUGUAACCGGUGAAUAUAGACAACUCUUUUUAGGAGCUGGAUGCCAAAGAGGGUGGAGAAAGGAGAGCGUGUGACUUGAGGGGGCCGUCAGUCAAGAGAGGCUUCUUUUUGUUUUUUGUUAAUUUUUCUGGUUUUGUUGUAUUUAUUGGGGUGGGGGAGGGUGAGAGAGAGAGAAAAAAAAGAGAGAGAGAAUCCCAAGCAGAGAUUCAGUGCAGAGCCGAAUGUAGGACUCCAACUCAUGAACCCUAAGAUCAUGACUUGAGCUGAAAUCAACAGUUGGAUGCUUAACCUACAGAGCCACCCAGGUGCCCCUCCCCCCCACCAGGAAGCCAGGUCAUGGGCUGAAGGGCAGGAGGGAGGAGCGGUGCUGGAGGUAUUUGAAGAGAUCUUCCUCCCAAGUCUGUCGUGGGGAUUACCUGGCCCAUAGGAGAGGCUUAUAAACUGAAAGGAAUUCCUGUGUCUUUGUGAUUGUUGUUCAGAGCAAUUUUUUUGAACAUUACAUAUAUUGUUUUUAUUAUUAUAGUAAUAUUUCAUGUUUGAUAUAGAAAAUUAUGGAAAAGGCAGAAAAGUAUAAAGAAAAAAGUCAUGAUAAUUAUUCUCCAAAGAAAAUAGCUAUUAACAGUUGGACGUGUAUCCUUCCAGCCCCUUCUAUGAAUAUACAUUAUGGAUAUCCUGUUUUGUAUGUUGCUUUCUUUGCUUCACAUUGUAUUUCACUGUCUUCUCAUGUCCUUUGGUAAUGCCCCCAAGUAUGAUUUUUUUUAAAUUUUUUAAUGUUUAUUCAUUUUUUGAUAGACAGACAUGAGUGGGGGAGGGGCAGACACAGAGGGAGACACAGAAUCUGAAGCAGGCUCCAGGCUCUGAACUGACAGCACAGAGCCCGACGCGGGGCUCGAACUCACGGACCGUGAGGUCAUGACCUGAGCCGAAGUCGGAUGCUUAACUGAUUGAGCCACCCAGGUGCCCCCAAAUAUGAUUUUUAAUGGCUAUGAAUUCCAUAAAUGGCCGUAAUCAUUCCAUCAGGUGGCUGUUCUACCAUUUACCUUGAAAUUUCCCUAUUUUGGACGUUAAAGUUAAUACCAGUGUUUCACAUGUGUAAUUAAUGCUAUAAUGGACAUCCUCGCAGAGAAAUCUUUAUGCUCUGGUGAAUUCUUUACACUAACCUCUUAGAAAUGGAAUUAGUAAGUCAAAUGGUAGGAACAGUUUAAAAACUCUUGAUAGAUAUUGCCAAGCAGACUUCCAGAAAGGUUACACUAAUUUUCAUUUCUUCCAGCAGCAUAGGAGAAUGCCCCGACACGAUCCUUUUAAAAACCUUUGCAGGUCAGUAUUGAUUUAUUGGUUUAAUUUGUACUUUCUUGAUGACUUGUGAAGUCCAACUUCUUUUCAUUUAUUUACUUCAUUUGCAUUUCUUUGGAAGGCCUCUGUACAGGGGAGUUUGGCUUGAGGAAAAGCUUCUCAGUGGAAAUACUGUUGAAGCUGCCGAGAGUUAUCUGGGCUGAUCCCUUUCCAUGAUGCUUCUCUGGACGACAGGGACCCUCAGCUCCAGGAAGCUAGUGUGCAGCCGUGACCCAGCCAGCUAUCAUUGCUCUGUCCCGGUUCUCGGGGAAGGCCCCUCCAGCCCCUUCCUGCCCCUAGAUGGCACCUCCACAAAGAGCGAAUUUUCUCCCAUCCAUGACCUGGCAAACAGGAGCCAUCACAGGAGUGAAGAUACAUCAACGGAGGGCGGCAGGCACUUGUUUCAUCUCCCUGUUGGUGUAGUGCCUGAGACUUGACUUGUUUUAAAAUUAAAUAUUUUAAAACAUUUAAUUUUAAAAUAUUUAAUUUUAAAACAAACCAAAGGAAACUGAAACCGCCGCAUUGUUAGCAUUGGUUUUUAAGAAGUUCUCCUGGGCCGCCUGGGUGGCUGAGUUGGUUGAGUGUCCAACUCUAAAUUUUGGCUCGGGUCCUGAUCCCAGAGUUGUGGGAUCAAGCCCCGUAUCAGACUCUGUGCUGAGCAUGAAGUCUGCUUAAAAGUCUCUCUCCCGGGGCGCCUGGGUGGCUCAGUCAGUUGAGCAUCCGACUCUUGAUUUCGGCUCAGGUCAUGAUCUCAUGGUUUGUGGGUUCAAGCCCCACGUGGGGUUAUUCGCUGUCAAUACAAAGCCUGCUUGGGAUUCUCUGUCUCCCUGUCUGUCUGCCCCUACCUCUGCUCGUG